RNAcentral lists this long non-coding RNA (2519 nucleotides) under Brassica napus (rape). RNAcentral's name for it is "long non-coding RNA (BNAP_LNC002899)". Lineage: Eukaryota; Viridiplantae; Streptophyta; Magnoliopsida; Brassicales; Brassicaceae. The record is from RNAcentral.
UGUCAUCUCCAUCGCAGGGGAGGAACCAUAAGUCGCCUUCGACGGAAAUCUCUUCAUCACUUCCGAAGAUUUUAACGAUAAGUCAUGAUUCUUUACUACUCAGAUUUGUUAGGGUUCAUGUACUACAUCUAUUGAUUGAGUGAUUGUUUGAUUUUGAAAAGCCUAAAUUUCAGUCCAUAGCAAAGUUCAGUGUUUGAUUGGCUCCACUGUCAAUUUUCUUUAUUUACAUGAAGAAACUGUAAAUCUCAGUUUAUGGUUUAGGAGAAACCAUAAAGUAAAAUUGAUAGUUCUGUAACAAGAAUCUGCAAUUUUCAGACAUAAUUAGAAAAGUCCUAUGUUCUUUAUAUUUCUUGUUUAUGUCUGUCUAUAUUGGUGUUUUGUUAAAAAAUGAAGAUUUUGUUUUUAUUUCAGGUAUUUGAGAAUUAGUUUGUACUAGAUUGAGGACAGAGUUUGUAAAUGAUUUGUGAGUUCUUUGACCAUCAAUGGAGAGAAGGAGAUCACCAAGAAGCAGCAAGAGUUCUGGAACUACAUUUUUCCCUAGAAGCUCGCUUGCCUACGAGAGUUAUAAGUCUGGUUGUAGUAGGAAACUGACAACGAGAAAGUUCAGUGUAAUGAUGUAAGUGUAUUAUAAAUUGUUUUUGGGAUAGCUUUUCCAACUUGGAAGGAGAAACUGAAUCUCUUGAUCUCUUCCUAGCAGAUUGUAGAAGAAGAGCAUUCAUGUAAGCAGCAUAAAUGAGAUGAUCUUUAAGCUAUGAAACAGAAGAUGAGAGCUAGUUUAGUUAUUGUAAAUUAUGUUGACUUCACGAGAAACGUCCGUAUAUGUUGUAUCAGAUGGCUAUUACGUAAGAAUUUGCGGCUUAGUUGUAAAUUAUGAAAUAUAUAGAACCAAACAAGUUGUAUGUUCGAAUGUAAUUCCGACACAAAAUAAUUCCAAAAGCCAAAUAGAACCAAACAAGUUGUAUGCUUGAAUGUAACAAAAGAACCAAACAAGUUGUAUGCUCGAAUGCAAAAACAUCAACCGCUGAUUUCGCCAAUAUAUAAAGAUAGCAACAAGAGACUGAAAUAGGGACAUCUUGAUAAGAAAGAAAAGUGGGAUGAAGAAGACAACAAUUGCAAACUUAAAAAAAAUGGUCUUAGUUACACUAGAAAUAAACCAGAUUCAAAAUUAAAGUAAACCAGCUUUAAUUUCUAUUGACUUAAGUUUGGCUUACUCAAAACCCAGAUUUUUGUUUAAAAGUUUAAAAGUCUGCUACCGAAAACAGCAAUUUAUAAAAUCUGCCACCAAAUGAAUACAAAAGUCGAUUGAAAAUUUAAAUCGGGUAAACAUAUCUAUCAUAAAAAUUUAUAUCUAUUACUGAUAAACAUAUCUGUCUCAAAACUCUGACUACUUCGAGAUUUAUAUUCCGGUAUAUUUGUUUUUCGUUAAAUAAAUCUGCCGUCGAAAUUUUUUUAAUAAUUUCAAAUGGCACUUUUGUAAUAUUGUUUUUUGAUCAUAACUAUAGUCAAGGGUAUUUUCGACCAUAAAAUAUUUUUAGUAAUUUAAAACUUUUAAGAGUCAUUCUAGUAAUUUCUACACUAAUUUAAGUCAUUCUAGUAAACUUCCCUUUAUCUAUUUUAGUCUGUCAUAUGUAGUAACCGAUUUGUUGAAGUCAUCAGUUUUUUUUCGAAGUAGUCAGAGUUUUGAGACAGAUAUGUUUAUCAGUAAUAGAUAUAAAUUUUUAUGAUAGAUAUGUUUACCCGAUUUAAAUUUUCAAUCGACUUUUGUAUUCAUUUGGUGGCAGAUUUUAUAAAUUGCUGUUUUCGGUAGCAGACUUUUAAACUUUUAAACAAAAAUCUGGGUUUUGAGUAAGCCAAACUUAAGUCAAUAGAAAUUAAAGCUGGUUUACUUUAAUUUUGAAUCUGGUUUAUUUCUAGUGUAACUAAGACCAUUUUUUUAAGUUUGCAAUUGUUGUCCAUUUUUUUAACUAUGGACUGAAAUUUAGGCUUUUCAAAAUCAAACAAUCACUCAAUCAAUAGAUGUAGUACAUGAACCCUAACAAAUCUGAGUAGUAAAGAAUCAUGACUUAUCGUUAAAAUCUUCGGAAGUGAUGAAGAGAUUUCCGUCGAAGGCGACUUAUGGUUCCUCCCCUGCGAUGGAGAUGACAGUGAGAUAGUGUGGAGGAGGCGGAUUUGAAGUCGGAGAUAACGGAGGUGGAGGUCACAGAGGUGGAGGUCACAGAGAUGACCCUGAUUGUAGGUUUGUCGGCAUGAGGCGCUUCACCCGUGAAAGGGUUUUGUUUUUGUUUUUUAUUUUUUUAAAUUAUAUCCCUAAUAAUACUUCAAUGGCAAAUUUGUGAUUACUGAAAAGUAGGUUGGGUUUUAUGUACUUUUGCUUGGUAUAUGUGUUAUGCUAGUAAUUACAAUAUUUUAAGAGUUAGUUGAGUAAUAUUAGGUAUGAUGGGAGUCAUUAUAAGUAAUUUCUCAUGGAUAAAUGAUAGUGAUGGAAAUGAGGGAUCAAUGAGAACAUGAAUGUCGUGAAG